Molecule: transfer RNA, 74 nt
Filed under: Ornithinimicrobium humiphilum
Lineage: Bacteria; Bacillati; Actinomycetota; Actinomycetes; Micrococcales; Ornithinimicrobiaceae
Also listed under: 2 other names
Description: tRNA-Trp
Rfam family: tRNA
About the family: Transfer RNA (tRNA) molecules are approximately 80 nucleotides in length.
Source: RNAcentral
AGGGCAUUAGCUCAAUUGGUAGAGCACCGGUCUCCAAAACCGGCGGUUGGGGGUUCGAGUCCCUCAUGCCCUGC